AGAAGCCGAAAACAUACUCCUCACUCAUUGCAUGACUUCAAGGCAGACAUAAUAAAAAGGUGUAUAGAAGAGGUUGUUAAAGAGUUAAAUUUUAUAUCUCGAUCAGCAUCUGGACCCAUCAUCAAAGUUGUUGCAGAUAAAAUGGGCAAGAAAUAAGGGAUAUCUUGGAGCGCUGGCCUGCAUUAUCAGAUGAAACACAGAUAAAUGAAGAAUUCAAGAGGAUAACCACUGUAGGUCUUGAAUCCACAUUUAUGGCCAAACUUGACAAACGCACCCCAAAACUAAUGGACCUGGCCUCAUCCAGGGGAGGAGCUAAAGGGGAAAGAAUCAGAAGGAUUAAGGAUAUGCUUCUUGAGAACAAUGCAGUUGAAGUAUGGAGAGAAGUAGCCAUUCACUGUCUUGUUGUCUAUCUUGGAGAGAAAGAAGAGGAUCUUUUUAAGGAGUUUGCUAAUACACAAGAAUCAUUGGUGAUCUGUCAACUAUGGAAUUAAACCACAAGACGGAAACCAUCAUUGUUGAGGGAAUCAGAAUCCUGAUUGGAAUGGAUAUCUCAAGGUGUUGUGCUCUGCUAACGGGCAUAAUAUAUGCUCUGAAUCUGAGCUACCCCAAGGAGCUUAAAUAUACUUGUUAAGUGUUUGAGAAGCUGUUUCUUGAACUUGAU
Danio rerio (zebrafish) is the source of this 661-nucleotide non-coding RNA. Lineage: Eukaryota; Metazoa; Chordata; Actinopteri; Cypriniformes; Danionidae. The record is from Ensembl.